RNAcentral lists this long non-coding RNA (1653 nucleotides) under Canis lupus familiaris (dog). RNAcentral's name for it is "lncRNA (ENSCAFG00030021183.1)". Lineage: Eukaryota; Metazoa; Chordata; Mammalia; Carnivora; Canidae. The record is from RNAcentral.
GCUUCAUUGAGAAGCCAAGAGCCUGAGGUCACCACUCCAAUUUCUACCCAGGGAAUGACAAUUACGUGGCUCCCAGAAGCCUCCACGCAAGAGCUCAGGCUGGAGCCAGAACGAGGGUCUCCCCUCUGAGGCUCGCUGGACCAAGACGAUAGGUGAGGGGCUCCACCAGGGCCAGCGCGCAGCCCAAGCAAGUGGGACCCCACUUCUGUUUCUCCAGAAAAGAGCAAACACGUUCUCUCAGGAAAUCAAGCCCGAGCAAAGGAGGCAUGCAGUGGGGAGGGGAUGGGGACAAGUCGGGGUCCUGGGGGAAGCCCCAGCGGGAAGCAUGAGCAGGAGGGACCUGAUGGGGCGGCACAGGGGCCCCUGAUCCAGGAGGGACUGCCGGGAACCCUGUGCUCAUCUGUCACCGCCUGAUUGGUGGCUCCAUCUGGGCUUUGGCGGGACUGACGCUGACAUGGGUAGCCUGUUUCGAGCAUCUGGCCAUAUUAUUUAGUUGCUUAAUGAUGGCAGGAGAAGCAGGGAGUAAUCAUCCAUGUUAACAUGUAAUUUAUUCUACAUCCGUAAUUAUGUUUUGCAACCAGUAAUGAAAGAGCGCCAGGCCCCCAGCUUAUCUGCCGCGGUAUGCCCCGUAUCUCAGCCUUGACGGGGAUCAGGGCCCCUUGGAGCUCCGGCCUGACUCUUACCAGCUCGAGGUCCAUCCGCCUUGCUGCUCCCAGGCUGCACGUUCAAGCCAGCAUGGACUAGUGGCCUGGGGGCCACCACAACCACCAGCACCCCUGGAGGGCUACAACCACGGGGAAUGGUUCUCCCCCAGCUCCGGAGGCUGCAGUCUGAGAUCCAGAGGCUCCAGGGGAGGGUCCCUCCUGCCUCCCCCAGCUCCCAGUGGCCCCAGCAUUCCUCGGCUUGGGGCAGCAUUGCGGAGUAUCACCCUGUCCUCGCUUGGCCCCCUCUCUUGUAAGGACGCUUGCCCUUGGAUUUGAUGCUACCUAAACUCCAUGAGCUCAUCUCAUGGUUCUUAACUUAAUUACAUCUUACAAAGACCUUCCAAGGAGGGUCACAGUGAUAGGCUCUGAGUAGGCAUGUCUUUGGGGGGGCCACCAUUCACCCCACUACAGUGUGCUUUUCCUCUCCCGGUUUCUAGCACCUCUGUACCUGCGAAGCUUCACCUCACCAUCCUCCUCCUGAGGGCAGCGCCCCAUCUGUCUGUCUCCUUGUCCUCCGUGCCUGGCACAGGUGAAUGCCCCAUAAAUGCCUCUAUUUAGCUUCAGGGAAUCCCAGGCAGGGGGCAGGAUGGUGAGCAGAAGUCCCCGCUGCCCCCCCACCCCAGUCCCAAACUAUAAGAACCCGGGGUGGAGAUAUUUAUAGACUGGACCGAGCAGCCCCCACCGGCAGCAUCCACAGGCUCCCAUGUCUGUCCGAGAGCUCAACAUCCAGGCUCCCUGAAGGACCUGCAUGACGGCGUGUGGCAGGUGCCCAGAGCCCCACUGCGGGGACUGCAAGCAGGCCCGGGAGCACAGAGGUAAGUUGGCACCCAGAGGUGACUCGUGAGUGGGCACCGGCCCCUCAUCAGGCUGGCAGCUCAUUAGGGCAGCUCAGGAGGCAGCCAAGGGGCUGAGUUCACGGCAGCAGGCGGGGCGCACGCUUGGAUCUGAC